Molecule: ribosomal RNA, 309 nt
Filed under: Escherichia coli
Lineage: Bacteria; Pseudomonadati; Pseudomonadota; Gammaproteobacteria; Enterobacterales; Enterobacteriaceae
Description: partial 23S ribosomal RNA
Rfam family: Bacterial large subunit ribosomal RNA
Source: RNAcentral
CUGGAGGUAUCAGAAGUGCGAAUGCUGACAUAAGUAACGAUAAAGCGGGUGAAAAGCCCGCUCGCCGGAAGACCAAGGGUUCCUGUCCAACGUUAAUCGGGGCAGGGUGAGUCGACCCCUAAGGCGAGGCCGAAAGGCGUAGUCGAUGGGAAACAGGUUAAUAUUCCUGUACUUGGUGUUACUGCGAAGGGGGGACGGAGAAGGCUAUGUUGGCCGGGCGACGGUUGUCCCGGUUUAAGCGUGUAGGCUGGUUUUCCAGGCAAAUCCGGAAAAUCAAGGCUGAGGCGUGAUGACGAGGCACUACGGUGC